CUUCGACUCCGGUGAGCUCUCCACCGGCUUCAGUACCCAAAGCUGCUACACCGCCAUCUCCGGUAGCCGAUGCACCGGCUCCAAGCAAGGGUAAGAAGCAUCAAAACGCGACGGCUCCGGCUCCUGAACUUGACAGCCCACCUUCACCACCGAUGGAAGCUCCUGGUCCUAGCUCCGACGCCGUGUCUCCUGGUCCGGCCACAUCCGCCGACGAAAAGGUAAACUAGCAUAAUAUUAAAUCAACAAAAUAUUGAAACAUGAAAACAUUCAUUCUCCUUUUAUUAGUUUAAAAAGAAAACAUUCAUUUCAAUAUUCGUUGUAAUUAUGUUGUAUAUUAAUAUGGAAUUAUUAUUAAUGCAGAGUGGAGCCGAGAGCACAAGUGUAUUGCGGAAUUUAGCAGCGGUGGGAGCGGCUGCAACCGCCUGGGCCGUUCUCGUUAUGGCCUUUUAAAUUAUUUUAGUUAUCAUUUCGCUCCUUCAUUUGUAGCAUCUUUUUUUUGAACCAACGAUUGUCUUUUCGCGUUUGAGUGAUGAGUAUUAUUUAAUUGAUUAUUACAGUUUGUUUUCUUUAUUUUCAUUUGGCAGACAAAUUGAUUUUUCUUAUUUUGGCAGCCAAAUAUAGUCUUCUUUAGUGAUGGGUCCGAUUUCUUCAUCGAAAAUGACACAUUAAAAUUUGAUGCAGACCUAAUAUAUCAAACUGUGAAAUUGUUCUAAUGUUUAUUUCAACGUAUAUGAACAAUAAGCAAAUCAGUGUAACUGUUUUUAGAUGUUUAUAUUGCUGAGUGCAUUAACUAAUUUACUGAUACCACAUGUGGAUUCAAGACGUAUUAUGGAAGGCGUAGGUUCAUUUGCCUCCAAUAGAUUUAAUUUUUUUUUUUUUGUAAAUUUCGGAUGAUUGAAGGAUCGAUUCUCUGAAUGCCAAAUUGUCUCUACUCAAUUACGAUUCUUUCCAUCAAAUCCUUGUUUUUCCUUUUCUUUCAAAUAUUUGUUUCCUAGCUAUCCUAAAAUAGCUACAUUGAACGCUACUAUAUGUCUCGUUUUCUAUAAAUAUCUAAAACUCAUUGAUGUAACAUAUUCUGUAUACGAUAACAUAUCUUAAAUUUUUAUGCUCCCAGUAAUAUAUAUUGCUAAUCUGUCAAUGUGAAUCAAAAUUAAUACAUGAUAUUUUCCUUGCUAAACUUUUGGUUAGUUUCUUCAAAUGACCAAUUUAUUAUACCGUUUGAUUGAAAGUACAAAGAGAGAGGAGGGUGAGAAGUACACUUUACGACCGUACUUUGAUUAAAAUUACAUUACUGCAUUUUGAAUAAUGAAAUACUAGGGUAAGACCCAGAAAUGAACAUUAUAUAUCAAUUAUUUUUUUAUGUAUUAUAUAUCAUUUUACAUAUUGUGAAAUAAUAAAUAUAUAUUAAAUAAUUAAAAAUUCAGUAACUAUUACGUAUAUAAUUAAAUUGGUGCAAAAACAUAAAUAAAAUUUUCUGAUCCAAACAAACACUUUUUAUAUUUGCUAUGAUAUAUACUUAAAUUUAAAUAAUACUAACAAAAAUAUAUAAUAUUUUGUUAAUAUUGAUAUCUAUUAAAUAAUAGUUUCUACUCAUAUUGUUUUUUGAUCAUUUGUAAGAGUGUUAAGAUUAAUAUAUACAUAUAUUUUAGCUACAUUAGGCAAUUUCAAAAUUAAAUUAUUUAUGUAUUCUUAUAUGGUAUGAUAGUUUAAUUUAAAUGAUAUAAAUAUAUUCAUAAAUAUCUGUAUACAUUAAUUUUAAUAUUUACAUAAAUAUAUGUAUAUAUUAAUCUUAAUAUUUAUUAAAUGAGAUCUUCUUGUAUCUUGUCAUAAUAAAAAAUUUAAACCAUAGAUCACAUAAAUUUUAAUAUGAUAUUUUUAACAGUUUUAGUAAUUUAUACUCUUUUUAAAAAAUUCAAAAUAUAACAUAUAUGGAAAAUCUAAAUUUUUUAUAUGGUUAAUUUUAUUGUUUAAUAUAUUUUAAUAAGUUCAAAAAAUUUUAAAAAUAAUAAAAGAUACACUAAUUUUUAUCAAAUCUUUAUUAUUCAAAAUUAUUAAUUAUCAUAUAUAUUUUAGCUAGAUUAGGCAAUUUUGUAAAUUUUUAUUUAAGGAAAGAAUAAAAAAUAAUAAUUUAUUUAUGGUUAGUUUAGUAAAAGUUUAUUUUAUUGUGGAGAUGACAUAUGGAUACCUCAAAUGUUGUAAAUACUUUUCUUUUUGUAUACAAGAGAUAUUCAUAGAGAAUAGUAGGUAAACUCAAUUUUCAAGCAAAGUUAUUCUAAAAGCUUAAAAAGUAUUUACAGACGUUACAAAAGACUGUCCACACAAAUAAAAACGUUACAAAAGAGCAAAGAGAACAUCUUUUAAUGAAAAUGCCUUUGUUGUUGUUAAGUUUUCCAUGGGAAAAAGUUUAGUAGAAUAUGAACAAAAGCUUAAUCUUUCAGAUUAAGUAAAGUGUUAUAAUAAUUCUUGUAAUUAAUUAAUACAAACUAGACAAAUAAUUUUGUUAGUGAGCUUAAAUCAAAGGCUAAAAAAAAGUUAUUUUUAUCAUCUUUAACUUUUAGAAAGCACAAGUUAUACUUAAACCAAGGUCUUGUGCAUGAGAUUUCGAGAUUCUUAGCUUUGCAAAAGACCUAAACCCACCAAGCCAAGCCACUGAUUCCUCCACAUCAAAUACAAAUAUGCAUGACAGUUCACUAUCAUAUUUCUUCUUUAGACUAUCUUCUAGACGAUAUGGGAGGUUCACUGGGCUUUCUCGGAAAAGGUUUUGUGUUUCUUAACCUAACAAUCAACGAUUAACAUUAUAUAAGACCGUUUUAAUGGUAUUCCUUUUAUUUAUUAGAAAGAAAAAUAAGUUUUUCGGUAUUUUUUGGCAUAUAGGGGUACCACCGACGCAGAUGAUGAAUAUGGUUAUGGGUUCACUCUACAAACAAUUCACCAAGAAAGCUAUCAACAACUUUGACGACUUCCACGUUGCUGUUUUAGACAUCUUCAAGUAAGAAUCAUUCGAUGGUUACAUUCCAUUUGAUCAGUUCUUCUUUAGAUAAGAUAUGAUCAACAAUAUAACUAUAUGUUUGAUGUGCAGCAACUUCAACUCGGCUUUACCAGGCCGACACUUUGAUCUCCCGACACCUGAUGAAAUAAAGGCAAGAAUUGACCUUUUUAAUUCUCCACGUAAAAUUGUUAACUAAUGAAUGAAGCCCAAGUUAUCGCCAAUUUGUUUUAAAUUAGUCCAUAAGAAACUUUAAAUCAUUAUAACUAUUUUCUCUAAUACAAUGUUGAUUAAGUUAGGCAUGUUUCUUGGGGUGGAAGGAAGCUAAAGACGAGGAAGAGAAGAAGAAAGUGUUCACAGAGUUCAUUGCAAAGAAAGUGAAGCCAAGUAAACUCGAUGACGUCACUAUGAUCACCGGAAUAGCAUCUCCUCCGGCGGCUAUGGCGGCUAAGAGAGCAGGAGAGAAUAUUCCUCAACUAAAGUUCAUCAAACUUAUACCUGAUGUUAUAUUCGUCCCUACGGUCACCAUUUUGGCCAUUGUCUCUGCUAAACUCUCAAGAAGAAUGUAUUUGAAAUAAUGCUUUUAACUUAAACAUUCUUUAUUUUCCUAUUUUAACUUUCUAAGUUAGAAGCAAGCUCCAAAGUUGAUUUAUAACACCAUUAAAACGCUGCAAUUCUAUAUAACAUCUCUGUACUUUAAAGCUUAAGGAUGCCUAGAAGUCAACACAUAAAAUUAUUAAACCCAAGGUCAGUCUUGUUUUAUUGAAACUUCCCAAACCAUUUUAGGUUCUUUUUCUUGAUCCAGCAGAGCCUCAUGACCUUCGUUUCCCUCGCUUUCUCUGCCUGUUAGGACGCUUAUUAGGCCUAGAAGGCAUCGAAGCCCAAGAUUGCGUGGCUUUCUGUUACUUACCUGCUUAUUGAGUUUAUUGAAAAAAGGAUAUGAGAAACAAAAGGUGUAAUGGAGUUUUUUGUAAAGUUUUGCAGAAACUUACAAGGUCUUGAUGGACCUUCCCCAGCUGAAGCUUGUUCUGUCUUCUUACCGAGAACAAUGCCUUUCCCUUCUCUUUGCCUUGAAGCCAUCAUUUCAGACAAUAAUAUAUCUGUUGUCCCGUCAUCGUCUUAAAGUUCUUAUUCUUUUUAUCAUCAUUCAUCUCUACCUUCGACUCCAUACCCAAAAUCCCUAGAAAAUGCCAAAAUCAGCAGAUACGCUUAUGCCCAAAUUUGGAAAAACACGAAACCCUAACCAAAGUUUGAAGCUCAUAUGAUCAAACAAACCAAAUUAGAUGCAAAACAACAGAGAUUCUAAUGGAAAAUUAAUUACCAAUUGGAAUCUUCACCAAUUAAGCGGCGGACCGAAACAGAGAUAAAUUCAAAAACCGGCGGUGAGAAUCAUGACGGAGAAACCAUAUAACCAAACGGUGGUUCAAGGUUUCCUAUAUCACAAGUGGGGUCCACUUCAGUCCAGGUCUUUGACUUUUUCUGUUUUAUCUUUUUGACAAUUAAUUGUUGUUGUGUAUUAUACAAUAUAUUUGUCCUAAAAUAAUAUGUUUGGAUUCUGUCAGAAUAUUAUAUUCCCUUUCUCAAACUAGGGCACGUGAAAAAUCUCUUUCGCAAAUUUGACUGACCCCAUAGUUUAUUUCUUUCUUUCUUUCAAUCCAAAGUCCAAACCACCGCCUCGCCUGUAAAGGAUGAGUGCUCUGAACCGAACCUUGAGCUCAUCAAUGUCGUUGAAACUCAACACCCUCACCCCUUUCCCAAUUUUCGCGUUACCAAAUUCGAAACCAAGCGAGAUUCGAUUCUCCAACAGAUGGGGGCAGCGAAAAGUCGAACGAUCUCUCUCUCACUCUCUCGCUCUCUUGGAUCAUCAAAGCUGCACAAGAAGAAGGGAUCAAAUUCAUUGCGGAGGAGGAGGUCGGUAGUGGAUGGAUUCAAAUUUAUUUGUGAUUUUUUCCGUCGUUGUUGUCCCUAGAUUAGAUUUAAAAUGGUGGUUGUGUUUGGUUAGGUGAUCAUCAUCAUGUGGGAGUGUGGUGGGACCUGAACACCUGUCCUCUUCCGGCUGGUGUAGACCCUCGUUGUGUCCGUCCGUGUAUAGAAUCUGCCUUGGAGAAGCUGUUUGGUCGUCGUUCUGCAGUCAGCAUCUAUAUCUAUGCCAUAGGAAACCUAGAAUUCAUCUCUAGUGACCUCUUGCAAAACAUCUCUUCCUCCGGAAUCAUUCUUACUCAUGCCCCCUGCGGUAAAGUCAAUCAAAUCAAUCCUAAUCGAUUUGUUUUGUUUAGUCUAAUUAAUUAGAGAGAGUUAGUAGUCUCAUGAUCUGAUCUGGCCUCCUUCUCUACUCUUAGGUAUGCACGACUUACAUGAUUUUCUUGUCGACUGGUCUGAGGAUGAGCUUAAAAACCCACAUCCUCCUGGUUACGUAAUGAUCAUCUCGAGUGAUUAUAAACUGCUUUACCCUGAGCGUUUUCGGCUUUUUCGAUUCACUACUUUUGUUGCAUAUCCAAAAGGUGUUCGCCUACUUGCCCAUCUUACCCAGCUAAAAUGUCUUGGCCAAGAGUUUGACGAAGUGUUUGCCAAAGAGUUUGUCUGGGAAACCUUAUUGAGUGAUAAUUUGGAUGAAACUUUAUUAUUGAGUGACAACAACACAUGUGAUGAGAAACCUCUCUGCAUUUGCAACAUAUGCUGUUAUGAUUACGAAGUAUGUGACGAAUUCAUCACUCAUCUCAAGUGUGAAGAGCACAGAAACCAGGUAAUUAAGGAAGCAGCAUGCAUCCUCAGCUUUUUUUUUUUAUCAUUUUUUUUCAUGUAAUCUGUGUGUGUGUGCAGUGGUCUGAAAUUGUGCACGACCGCAAGCUUAAAUAUUUUUGCCAAGUUUGCAAUUAUCCCGCCUAUAGCCACUAUAACCUCUUUCUCCAUAACCAAAGUGAAGCACAUAAUCGCAAGGUAAGCGCAGCUUGUGAUCAUUAUUAUACAUUUUAACAACUCUCUGUAUCACUAAAAUUUGAUCCCCAUUUUGGUUUGUUUUCAAGCUGGUUGAGAAACAGGCUCAAGAAGAGGAGGAUUGCCAGAGCAGGAAGACAAAUCCAGAAUUGGAUCUCUUCUACGAGAGAAACAAGGAGCAAUCUCUUUGAACCAAGGCAGCCUAAGGAAGAAGCAGCAGCUAGAGUGCGUGCAUCCCCAUGGGGUUUUUGUGUUAAAGAGUUUUACUAAAUAAUGGACUACUUAAUUAUUAUUAUUAUUAUGCUGAAUACUUUGUUCUUCUACCACUCAAAAUAUUUUCAAGUCUGGUUUGUUUUUCUUUUUUUUCAUUUUUAAUUAUUACAUGACAAGAUUUAUUCGUAUGUGAAACUUAAAACAAACUCACUUAGAAAGAAAUUUCAUUUCUAUCUUUGCACAUAUUUUUGUCUUUUAUUUUUGAUUUCUAGGAUUACUUUUUUUUUUUUUUUAUCUUUAUGAAAAUUAAUGUGUAUUAUCGUACACAACGUUUAUACAAAGAUAUUGUCCUAAUUAUGUUGGAUUCUGUCAGAAUAUUUUAUUCCCUUUCUCUAAACUAGGGCACGUGAAAAUCUUUGUUGUUGUAUUGAUCAUAAUCAAAUUAAUUUUACUUCUUUUUCAAUCAUUUUUCCUACACAUUUUUUUUAGAUAUUAGACUAAAAUAGUUGUACAUAUUUUGGAACCAUAGAGCGAAGAUGUAUAGGAGAUUAUAUCAGCUAGCCACAUCCAUGUCAAGGCGAUUCAGUGUCCGGACCGGCAUUGUCGAUUAAUCUCGUUUGGAGAGAUGGUAACUAAAUUCCUUGUAACUUUUUUUUUUUGAUCAAAAUUUCCUUGUAACUUUGCCCAUCUUAUUCACUAUACUAACGGUUCGGACCAUUAGCAGUAUAAUAUAUCUAAACAUUAACAUUAUCGAUGACAUAUAUUUUUCUUUUUAUUCAACUAUGUGAGCAGCAAAAAAAAUAUGCAAAAUACAACUAUUGACACUUUUGAAUCGCAACUAAGGGGACUGGUGAUAUGUGAGGAGAAUCAAGAGAUUAUUUGUAUAUAUGCUUUAAGUUUUUUCAUGUAAGUAACAACUAACAAGGAAGCAGUGUUUUCUCUUCAUUUUGGUUAUUCACUGGUGAGAGCAAUGACACUGGACAUUUUCUAUCUAAUUUACGUUCUCUAUUUGAUAACUAUUCAGAACCUACGGGGAUAUGGCAUGUGCUUAUUAUCUAUGAAUAUGAAUAGUACUUAUAUAGCUCAUUAUGCUCGACCGUGUGUGCAAUGUAGCUAUCUUCCAAUAUUAUUUUUGUUACGCCCCGACUGUCCACUGCUAAUGGGCCACCCACACCUGUUCACUCGGCCCGUGUGUUACAUUCCGUCCGAUGGGAAGUUCGUUAAUUUUUUCAAGGCCCAUAAGUCUUAUUUACUGACCAUGCAAUCACCACAUGACAUUUCCCUAUGUUUUGACCUCAUUUCACUACUCCAAUCCAGCACGCUUGACUCUGGAAUUCGAAACGGAUGUGUGACGAAAAAGAUAAGUCAACUUUGAUAACAAGAGAUAGUCAAAUCAAUUUUCUUAAGCCUUUUCCAUAUAUCAUAACUGGAGAUGUUACAAUUCACCUUCUCUCAAAAAACGCAACGCUCUCGUUGCGUCCCACGACAGGUCUCAAGACGUCUUUCGGGUCAGAACCGAGAUGGCUAACCAGCUCUUACCACUUGUAACACCCCGACCGUCUACGGUUAAUGGACCACCCACGUCCGCUCACUCGGCAUGUGGGCCCCAUCCCGUCCGACGGGGGAUGCGUUAACUUAUCCAAGGCCCAAAAGUCUUAUUUACUGACCAUGCAAUCACCAUCCGAUCUUUCUCCAUGUUUUGGCCUCACUCGCAUGGUCUCGCGAAUCACUUCCCGAUAUAUCACCCAUCCUUUCACUACGCCAGCCCAAGCACGAUUAACUCUAGAGUUCUAAACGGAUGUGUGACGGAAAAGAUAAGUCAACUUUGGUAACAUACAUAGCCAAAUCAAUUAUCUUAAGCAUUUAUAAUAUAUCACAACUCGGGAUGUUACAAUUUUACUUUUUUCUCUUUUUCAUCAGAUUUAAUAUAUGUUGCGUUUUAUAUAAGAACAAUUUCAAAAAAGAUAUAUAGUUAAAUAUCAAUGAUAAAUGAUGAAAAUCUGUUGACAAGUGGAUGAACCACUUUUUCUUUGACAUCUUUCUGUAUGAACAAAAGUUUAGAGAUGAUAAUUACAUUAUUUUCAGGAUGUGAUAGAUCUUUUUAAAAAAAUCUAUUUUAUUCUAAGUUUCAAGAAUAAAGUAACUAAAUUUUGAAAAGAAAUUAAAAAUUUUAAUCCUAUUUUUAGGUUUAAUAUCAAAUUUAGUUUGUUUUAUGAAAAUUAAAUAUAACUUAUUUCUUUUUCAAUUAAAAUUAAGAUUUUUUAAAAAAUUUUAAUCUAUAAUUUAGUUAAUUUCAUCAUGAAAAUUAAAAUAAAAUUAGAAAAUUUUAAGAUUUGUUUUUCAAUUUUUCAAUUUUGAAUUUCUUUUAAAAUUUAUUAAGAUUCUUGAUUAGAGUGAAUACAGUUGGGUAUGAGCAUGGUUUUGAAAUUUUGUGUAUUUAAAAAGAAUAAAAUAAUUAUUCUUUAUUUUAAAUUGGGUAUUUAAAAAGUUCGGAUAUUUAAAAAAUUCAUAAAAGUUAAUCUGGAUAUUUAUAUGGAAUCUUCUUGCUUAUAUCAUAAGUUACUUGUUUAGUAUAUAAUAUAUGUUAUAAUUUAUAUAUAAUAAAUAUACAGCAGAUAAUUAAUAGUGACUAUUUAUAUAUUGAUUUUAAUAUAUCCACAAUUACCAUAUACAAUUUAAUUUUACAACAGUACAAUGAUAAAAUCUGUAUUGCCUUUGAACCAGUCACCCCUAUAUUACUUAUGACCCCUGGUGGAUCUAGGUGGAACAAGAAGGGUGCAACCGCCCCCAGUAAAAAUUACAACUAAAAUUAAAUACAUCAGAAUUUUUAUAUAUCUUGCAAUCUAGUUGGUUAAAUUCUUUUAUUUGCAUCCACUAAACCAAUGUUAGAACAACACUAUAUCUUUUUCACUAUUUUUGCCUCCAUUCAUUAUAUUUUCUAGAUCCGCUACUGCUUAUGACCUGGUGGAUAAGAGAUGGAUUAAGAAAAUAACAAUUUUAGUAACCUUAUCUAAAUUUAAUUUAUUAAAAUUUAAUAAUAUUAUUAAAUACAAAUUACUGCUAAAAUCUACAAGCUUUUGGACAUAUUAAGCCUUCUCAGAACUAUAUAAAUACUAUUAUAAACGCAACUGGAAAUGAAUAAGUGAAGAAAAACAUUGUAGAAAUAAGGUGAAAACUAAAGAAAAAAAUGGGGAGAGUGAAAAUACAGAUGAGAAAAAUAGUGGAUAGACAACAAAGAAAUAUUGCAUUUGCCAAAAGAAAAAGCGGGCUUCUGAAAAAAGCUUAUGAACUCUUUAUUCUCUGUGAUGUUCAAAUGGUUCUCAUUUUCUUCUCACCUUCUGGUAAACUUUUCCUGUUUGAUACGAAAACAAGGUAUUGUUUCCUUGUCAAAACUUUGUUUAAAUCUCAUUUAUAAUCUUGUAAUUCUUAUAUUUACUAUUUCAUCAAAAGUGGGUUUUUGAUAUCAAAUCAUCGGUAUUCUUUUAAUUUUUCUUCCGUAUCAAUUUUAAUAUGUUGUUAAAUAUAUAAUAGGAUGGAAGAGACUAUAAAGAAGUAUGUGGAUGUGCCUAUACGUCCAAGGUAAAUUUGUUGUGUUAAUGCAUGAAGGAACUUACAACAAUAGCCAGUUUUAUUAUGCUAACUUAAUAAACAUCUAUAUGUGCAUGGCCUAUUGGAAUUGUAACUGGUCGGUUCAACUAACAGACUCCAAGUCCAAGAGGAAGCGGUAAGUAUCCUCAUAAUAACCAAGCCAAUUACAUAAUUAUUUUGGACAUUAAAAUAUCCUUAUCAUUAUAUCUAAUUUGGAUCUUUUUCUUAUUGAUAUGGGGAUAUAGUUUAUACGACGGUGGAUAGAUAUCAUGCGUAUAGAAUCACAAUAUCCUGAAUCGAUCGUGAGGUUAUAAUGAAUUCACUUUAAAUCGAUUCUAUUGAAAUUAUAUAAUUCUUUGCUUUAUACUUCACUUAUAUUGUAGUAUUUUAUGACAAGUACUAUGUUUAAUUCUAUUUUAAUAGGCCCAGAGAAAAUUUUGGCGAUGGGAUUCUUUCUCAAGCUCGAUCAAAGGUAUGUGGAUAGACGUUUUUCUAAUUAUUUGGAAUUACUUUAUAUAUAGGAAUCCACUUUAUGCAUGGUUUUAUUUAAUUCGUUUAUAGUUUAACCAUUCAAUUCUCUCUAAACAGGAGAUAGAAGACGAAAUCUCCAAAUGCAAAGCCGAAAUGGCGAAAGUGGAACAACAGUUAGGGUAUUCAUCUUAUUGUAUACAUAUGAUUAGUACAUAUUUUAAAAACAUACCGGUAUCGUUCAUUUGUAUAUCUUUAAUGCUAUUUAUUCUAUUUUAUUUUCAAAUUAAGGUACUUUUUAAAACAUCCAAAUCAGUGGACAACAAGAGAUGACAUUGAGUAUCAAGAGAAAAUACUCGAGGAGACGUUGGAUAAAGUUCGAUCUCGGAAGGUAAAUUGAUGAUAAUACAAAAAUGGGUCUUAAACUUAAGUUUUAGUAACAUUGUUAAGCAAAAAAAAAAANNNNNNNNNNNNNNNNNNNNNNNNNNNNNNNNNNNNNNNNNNNNNNNNNNNNNNNNNNNNNNNNNNNNNNNNNNNNNNNNNNNNNNNNNNNNNNNNNNNNCAACCUAGUUGUCCGCUGCAUCACUACUCCAUGCAAUGCAAGUAAAGGCAAUCACGCUUCUAUUAUUUAGUAUCAUUUAGUAUACUUUUCCUAAGAAAACCAUGUCCUUUUUCUAUUCCACAAAACAUGAUAAAUAAUUUCACUAUGUAUGCCUUAAACGGUUUCUGUUAAAAAUAAAGUAAAUACGAACUUUAAGAAUAUGCAAUGGAAUAAUUCAUUUACAUUAUUUUAAUUUGAUUGUUUCAAAGAAAGGAAAAUAAGAAAACAAAGAUGUUAAGCUCAGUAACUUGUUCUUCACAAUUUUCAAGCUGUCUCCUAGCUCGAGGUUGAAAAUUGUAGAGAUUGCCAAUCAUUUCCAGUGACACAUUCCAUGAUAGCAUCUUUUUUUUUUUAUCAUAUACAGAUAUACUAUAUAUAUACAUAUAUAUUAAUCGUGCCUGUAUCAAGAUAACAAUUUCCCAUUAACUAUAAUUUGAUAAUUUUGAUCGGGUCAUUUGGUUAUUAAAGAUUUACCCCCUAUGUUUAGAAAUAUUUUUCACUUAUUAAAAAAAUAUAUUAGAUUUUAGUUACCAAUACAUUAUUUUCUGUAAUUAGCUAUUCUCCAUAACUUUUAACCAAUAGAAUUUUAAUAAACACAAUUAUGUUUUUUGAAAUUUACAAUUUGUAAUUAAUUUAUGUAGUGAAAAUGUAUUUUUUGAAACAAUUUUUUUUCUAAAACACAUUUCCUCCGUUUUAUUUUAGUUGUUGUUUUUAAGUUUAUGCACAAAGAUUAAUAAAACAUAUGAUUUUAUAUAUUUCCACACCUAACUAUAUUUCAACCAAUAUAAAAAUAAGUAGAAAAUUUUAUUAAUAAGUUUUACAUUGAAAUUCUAAAACAAUAUUUAUUUUGAAAUAAAUUUUUUUCUCUAUAACGAUAAUUAAAUAGAAAUGGAAGGAGUAUAUCUUUCGGUAACAGAAAGAGUGCGAUUUAUUUAUAUAUUUUACGCAUAACAAGCAAAUGGUUGAAUCGUCUUCCUCGAAUAUAUGCUUUUACAAAAAAAAAACAAGUAAUCACUGCAGACAAGAGGAAGGAGCAGAUCGGAACGCAACAAAACAAAAAAUACAAUUCUUAUUUAUACUUGUGGAAGGUCAUUUGUUAAUAUAACAUUCAAUUUGGAUAUAGAGAUUAAGCAAGUCAGUCCAUAAUUGGUAUUAUUUGUAUCCACCAAAGCUUUGGCUAUGAUUAAGGGAUGUGUGCAGAACAGUAUUAAAAGCAGAACGGACGUAAUUACAUGAAAUCACCAUUCAUCACAUCACUUUUGUGGAUUAGUAAACAGUAGUGGAGUCAUCUGCUCUACAGCUCUAUAAGUGGAAUCGCAAGUUUUGCAAUAUGCAACAUUUAAUAUUGCUUUAAAGCAAAAUAAAAAAAACAUUUAAUAUUUGCAAAAUCACUUUUGAAGGUGACAAUAGUCUGGUCCGUAACUUGAUCUAAAACAAAGAAACUUUAACCUACAGAACUGGAUCCGUGAAAUCAGAAUAACCUACAAAAGAAAGAAAAAUUAUAUUUUGUUGUUUAUUUUUAUGUUUGUCCUGUAUUUUAACAAUCUCCACGAGGAUUACUCAGUUUCAGGUUACCGUAAAAAAAAAUAGCAUUGUUCUACAGUUCUACUAGAGGCCCGAUCGAAAAAAGAAGAAGAAGAUAGGCAUGUUAAUUUUAUCCUAUUACAUUAUAUAUUAGAUAUACUACAGCCAAAAAAUAACUAGAUAUAUAUCAUAUAAUGUCUUGUUAAAAAUAAUAUUUAUAAAAUAUUUAUUUAAGGAAAAUAUAUUUAAAAUGAAGCUUAUGAUUUUGCAUUGACAAAUGUUUUGAAUUAAAAUAACACAAAUGGAUGUAAAUAUACUAAAACGACCAAAAUGGGAGGACUCGUGCGUCUUCUAGUGUUUGAUACUUAUAGUAUUUAUUUCUAUACAAAUCGAAUUAUCAUGUGCCAUGUGGUCGAGAGAACAAAGAGUAACACGAAAGGGAAUCUUUUUUCCUGUAAAGUGUAUUUUUCAAUAAUAUUGAUCACGUUAUUGUAUCUCUGGUCUAUUGCCAUGAUUACAUGUUUCUCAACUCUUCAUGGUUUAGUUUCACUUUUCCUCGGAAGUUACUCGUGCUAUAGAGAAAGUAUGAGUAUCCAAUGUAACAAAGAUUCCAAGAAAAAUCUAACUUAUACUGGAUUAAAAAAAAACAAUUCAAACCAUAUUUGCUGCAAAAUUAUAAAAUACAAAACUUUGUUUAUGGAGAAGGAAAAUAACAAAGUUAAAACUUUGUUUGCAGAUAAAUCUUCACUUUGGAGAGCAUCGUCAAAUUCACUUCUCUUGAUGCCUUAUGUAAUAAUAUAUAUGGCUUUCGGAAAAUUUGUCUACUGAUGUUGGUUUUCUUUGGUUAUUCCAAAUUUGUAUAAUGAGUUUUUUAUCUUUAAGAUCAAUAAAAUUCUAAUUUUGUCGGAAUUUCUUUUUACAAAAAACUACUUAUGAUACGUGGAUAUAUUUUGGUUGUAAAACUACAAAAGCAAACUGAAUCCAAGUAAAAAAAAAAACCAUAACAAACAAAAUUUUCGAUAAAGAUGUAUGCAGGGCUUUUAAUAUAUCUCACUGUAAUAUAAUGGGCUUUUAAAUGGGCUUUAAAGACCCAAAACAUUACACUAAAAACCUUCGAUCCAGCAAAGAAUCUCCCCGCCACGGUAUCGCGAAAAUCUACACCACCUUAUCCAAUGGGAACACAGACUCACUCCUCUCCUCUUCACCAUUUCCUUUCUCCCACCGCUGCAAUCAAAAUCGCGCCUUGCGCGACCCAAGUUUCUACAACUCAAUGGAGCUUUGUUCUUCAUCUUCUUCUCUCCUCCGCGUCUCACCCGAAAAACUCUCCUUCUCUUCCUCAAUCUCAAUCUCUCAGUUCCAGCUAAAGCCCUCGACUUUCGCCAAACCCAGACUCCGAAUCCACGCCUCCCUCGCUUCCGAGACUCAGGGCCUCCCACGAGACAGCCCUCAGCGUCUCCUCAAGGAGCUCGCCCAGCGCAAACAAUCCACCACCACUCCCUCCAAGAAGAAACUCCCUCCCAAACGCUUCAUCCUAAGGCCACCACUAGACGACAAAAAGCUAGCAGAGAGGUUCCUCAACAGCCCGCAGCUCUCUCUAAAGUCCUUCCCUUUACUCAGCUCCUGCCUCCCUCCUUCGAACCUCAACUCCUCCGACAGAACAUGGAUCGACGAGUACCUCCUCGAAGCCAAACAAGCUUUAGGCUACUCCCUCGAACCUUCCUCGACCCUAAGCGACGAGAAUCCUGCGAAGCAUUUCGACACGUUGCUCUAUUUAGCGUUUCAGCAUCCGUCGUGUGACAGGGCACGUGCGAGGCACGUGAAGAACGGGCACUCGAGGCUUUGGUUUUUGGGGCAGUAUGUGAUUGAGCUUGCGGUUACUGAGUUUUUCUUGCAGAGGUAUCCGAGGGAGCCUCCGGGGCCUAUGAGGGAGAGAGUGUUUGCCUUGAUUGGGAAGAGGUUUCUUCCGAGGUGGAUCAAAGCGGCUAACUUGCAGAAUCUUGUCUUUCCUUAUGAUGAUAUUGAUAAGUUGCUUAGGAAAGAUCGUGAGCCAGUGGUUAAGUAAGUUUCCUCUCUUGUUGAAGUUGCUUUGACCUGAGAGUUGAAUCUUUAGUCAAGAGUUUGAGUUUUUUAUCUGCUUUUGUUGUGACAUGAAGUGACUGUUGUCUGGUUCUCUUCAAAAGUUUGUUUAGGGAAUUAUCUUUAAUGUUUAGACAUGCCUAAGUUUUAUCAUACUCUCUCCUCUGUAUGUAACUUGGUUGCUAAGAUCAGCUAAGAUCACCUUUUUGUUGCCAAGAGCUUUUAGCUGAUUUGACUAUUUAUCUCUUAUGAUAAGUUCAAUAUAUCUGUUUGUCUGCUAUUAUUAGCAUAUAGUCGAAGUCUCGAAGAGUCUGUGCUUCCCAAUAUACUAAAGUGUUUCCUGUGAUGUGACAUACAUUUACUACUUAUCCAUAGUUUAGGUUGAUUUGAGCUGAGAAUUGGAUCUUAGUCAAGAAAUUGAGUUUGUUGUAGCAUGAACUGAUUGGUGUCUGAUUCUAUUCAACAACUUGAUUAGUGAAUUUACCUUUUAUGUUUAGUUGCUAAGAUCAUCGUUUGUUGCCAAGAGCUUUGAGCUGAUAUGAAUUUUAAUCUCUUUUGAUAUGUUCACUAUAUCUGCUUCCCAUUAUACUAUUUUGUAUGCCUGUGACAUAUACUUGCUACUUAUCCAUGUUUACUUUGUCUUGUUUUCACGCUAGAUCUGUGUUCUGGGCUUUGUUUGGUGCAAUCUAUCUAUGCUACGGGAUGCCGGAAGUGUACCGUGUGCUUUUCGAGGUGUUUGGGAUGGAUCCAGAUGCGGAUGAUUGCCAGCCUCGAGCUAGGAGACAGCUUGAGGAUGUAGAUUAUGUCUCUGUUGAGUUCGAAGGCAAGAAGCUAGGCUGGCAAGAUAUUGCUACUUACAAGGUAAAUGAAUCAAAAGCUAUAAAACACACUGUUUAAGUACUUAGACUGAUGAUGAUCACACUUUUGUUUGGUAAUGGUUUCUUCUAGCCUCCUGAAGAUGCUUUGUUCGCACACCCGAGGCUAUUCAGAGCUUGUGUUCCACCAGGAAUGCACCGUUUCAGAGGAAACAUUUGGGAUUUCGACAGCAAACCCAAAGUCAUGCAGGCCUUAGGUUACCCUUUACAGAUGAACGAUAGAAUCCAAGAGAUAACCGAAGCGAGAAACAUCGAGCUUGGACUCGGUUUACAGGUAAAGAGAUCAAUAAACUUUAUCACGCACUAUGUUAAACUUUCCUUCUUUUUAAUACUUUCACUUCCUUCAGCUCUGCUUCUUGCAUCCUUCAAAGCACAAGUUCGAACACCCUCGGUUCUGCUUCGAGCGAUUAGAAUACGUGGGGCAGAAGAUACAGGACAUAGCGAUGGCUGAGCGUUUGUUGAUGAAGCACCUGGACGCGCCUGGCAAGUGGCUGCAAGAGAAGCAUAGGCGUUUGUUGAUGAACAAGUUCUGCGGUCGGUAUCUGAGGGAGAAACGUCUUCACAACUUUAUAAUCUACUCGGAGGAGGUUCACGAUCGGUAUGAGCAUAACCGGAGACUUAGGAAUCCUGCGACGACAGCUGUUCAGCAAGCUAUUCACGGACUAGCGUAUACCGUCUAUGGAAAGCCUGAUGUUAGGAGGCUCAUGUUUGAGGUUUUCGACUUUGAGCAGAUUCAGCCUAAAGCUAUCGUCUGAAAAAGUCUAUUUUACGUGUAGCAUCUCCAUAUUUGGUAUAUGUUGGUGUAUUUAGAGAUACUUUAAAACAUUUGAUUUGACUAUUUACGUUUCUUUUUGAACUAGAGAGUUAAUCGUGUUUGAUCUGAAUCAAUUCAAAAAUGAAUAGUCUAAAAUUACGUGAUGAUUACAAGAUCAGAAAAUGAGAUGCAUUACAUUAAGCCUUUUGUUAUUUGUGUAGGGUGAGGGGAGCAAGCGAACCAAAAAUUCAAAUUCAGACAAUGGAGCUGCCAGGAGAAAUAAGCUAUAGGUGGUUUAACUCUCCUCUACAUUUUUAAACAGCCCAAGUCACUUAAUGGGCCUGUGGGCCUCAUGCAAGAAAGCUUUUCACAUAUCUAUAGCCCAAGAUAUUCAACCCUAAACGGUCACACAUCAGUUUUCCACCGUUGGAUGAAGACUCCAUCGGCGCCGUUCAAAUCAAAAUUAGAAAAAUCAGACCGUUGGGAGAGAAACCGCUCAUCUUCCUCAAGAAGCCUCCUUUAUAGAGGCCCCACUUUUAAUACUAAUCAUCGGAAGAAGAAGAAGAAGAAGAGAGAAAAUACUAACGAAAAUGAUGGCGUCUCGAUCGAUCGUUCCUCAGCAAACCACGGGUAAGACGAGUUCUGUUCUUGAAUUUCUUGUUAUAUCUAGUGAAUUAAUUUUUAAUUACCUGUGGUUGAUUUUGAUAAUUGAAUCUAAAAGAUGUGAACUUUGUUUUGUGUGAAGAAGGUGAUGUUGUUGUUAUAGUGGAAGACGAUGACAAGAACGCUGCGAAAGGAAGAAACCGUCAGGUUCUUCGUGAUAUAGGCAAUGUUGUUCGACGAAAUCACCCAAAGAACAACGACCCGGCUAAGACCAAUCAUCCUCGUACGCGGUCUCAACACGCCCCACUCGUUGAGGUAACACAUCUCAAAGUUUGUUCCUUUUUGUGUAGAUCUGAUAAUAAUAGCUCAUGUUAAUAUCGUUUUGGCAUUUGCAGCUUGUUAAACCUGUGGCGAGGAGAGUCGCUGUGGCGGUACCAAAGCCAAGGAAAAGAGCUGAGAAGCCAAAGGAUGUAGAGGUUAUAGAGAUAAGCUCAGACAGUGAUGAAGAACUUGGUUUAGUUGCUGUCCAGGAGAAGAAAGCCGCCGCAGCCGCUAAGAAGAAAACAACAGUCUCUUACACAUCUGUUCUCACCGCUAGAAGCAAGGUUAACAUUAGAGUAAUGAUUCUUUUCAUACGUUAAAUGUUUGGUCUGUUCUGAAAAUUUCUGUUUGCUAUUAUUCACAGGCUGCUUGUGGUUUAAAGAAGAAAGAAGAGAUUGUUGAUAUCGAUUCUGUUGAUGCUAAGAACGACCUUGCAGCUGUUGAAUAUGUGGAAGAUAUCUACAGCUUCUACAAGUCUGUUGAGGUUCGUACUUAACUUACUUACUAUACAUGAAUCUUUCCUUGUGACACUUGUAUUAAUGAUUCAACAUUGGCAGAGUGAAUGGCGUCCAACUGAUUACAUGAGGUCACAGCCUGAGAUUAACGAGAAGAUGAGACUGAUUCUCGUUGAAUGGUUGAUAGAUGUGUGCGUCAGAUUCGAGCUAAACCCUGAGACGUUUUACCUCACAGUUAACAUCAUGGAUCGGUUCUUGUCGGCUAAGCCUAUACCUAGAAAAGAGCUGCAGCUGGUUGGUCUCAGUGCUCUUCUCAUGUCAUCCAAAUACGAAGAGAUCUGGCCACCACAGGUGGAGGAUCUAGCUGACAUUGCAGACCACGCAUACAGUCACAAACAGAUUCUGGUGAUGGAGAAGACAAUACUGUCUACACUCGAGUGGUACUUGACGGUUCCGACACAUUACGUCUUCCUCGCACGUUUCAUCAAAGCUUCCAUUGCAGACCAACGAGUAAGAGAUCUUUUAUUACAGACUCUUCUUCCAUGGUUUUGUUAGUUUCUCAACUGGUUCUUGUUUUUAUGUCUUUCAGAUGGAGAAUAUGGUGCACUAUCUGGCUGAGUUAGGAGUAAUGCAUUACGACACGACCAUAAUGUUCAGCCCAUCACUGGUUGCUGCAGCUGCAAUCUACGCAGCGAGAUCAGCUCUUCACCAAGUUCCCGUUUGGACUAGCACUCUCAAGCAUCACACCGGCUAUUCUGAGACUCAGCUCAUGUGAGUGUGUAAAACAAAAGAUCCUUUCCAUUUUUCUCCAUCUUCAUCAAGCUGAUGAUUGUUUUACAAUGAUGAUACAGGGAUUGUGCGAAGCUAUUGGCGUUUCAGCAGUGGAAGCAGCAGCAGCAACAAGAAGAAGGGAGUGAGAGUAAGAAGGGAGCUUUACGAAAGAAGUACUCCAAGGAAGAAAGGUUCGGUGUGGCUAUGAUCCCCCCGGCCAAAUCUUUGUUGACCGGAACCGACUCUGCUUAGGAGUUUAUAAAGAAGAUGAAAUAAUCUACUACUAGAUAUGGCUUUUCAUUAGAUUUAAAGUUUUGUAUAAGUCUAAUGAGUUACUUUGAAAACAUAUAUUCUCUAUUGAAUGAAUCCAAAUGCUUCUUAUCAUCAUGAUUCGUAUCUUUUAGUUGCGUCUCAAGAACAAACGAGGAGUUAUAUAACUUAUAAAUAAACCGACCGGUCGAGAUUUGGUUCAAUUCUCUAUUCAAAGAACCUUUUGUUGCCGCUUCAGCAUUGGCAUCAAGGUUGGUGUUCGAGCUCAAUCUUUUCUUGACAUGUGUAUGCCACACAUUUUUUUAUCUCGUUGUCAGUUCGUUCUGGCAAUUUAGAAGCAAUCUUGGACCACCUGAAACCAAAAUGAAGGAAAGCUAUUGUCAGGACAGAAUCCAAACGUUGAGGCAAGACAAGCCACCAACAAGAUAACACAUACUUGCUUCCAAUGCUCUGGUGAAGUUUAACGAUGGUUUCUUCUUCCUCUACGCUGAAAUUUCCACGUUUCACAUCAGGUCUGAGAAGACGACAACUCAUGCCACACCUCAACAAUCCUUCAUUCAUUACAUGCAUACAUGGAUAGACAUAAGAUUACAGAACCAGAAGAUUUCAAAAAGCCUAAGGAAGACCAAGGCUUUAAGAUCAGAAACAUUACCAGCUUGGUUAGGGAGAGAUCUCCAGUUCUUAUGACCAUACUUUCUGAAUGAAAGAGAUGAGUUUCAGGUCUUCGUCGUAGCUCCAUGGUCCUCUCUUCACUUUGGUUUUGUCACAACAUGGCGCUCUUCCUUUGCCCAUUUUCUCUACUCUCUCUCACACACACUUUUGAGUUUCCUUUUACCAAAUCAAGUUGGUCCUAUGUGUAUUUAUACAAGAAAUUGGUGUGUGUUCCUGACUUUUAGAAAUAUGUUAUAAACAAAAGACAAUGACAAUGGUCAAAUCAGAUUUGUUUAAAUUAAUUACUAUCUAUAUUUGUGGUUGAAUGUCACAUGAUUCCUUCUUUCCUAAUUAUACACUUACCAUUUGUAUGUCAAAAUAAAUAGUAAUUAUGUUAUAAAAUAUUUUCCCACAUUGCAUUAUCAAUAUGUUUUGAAAUUUCAGUUGAGUCUCACAAUUCCUAGUCAAUCUAAAACAUCUUAAAAUGCCUAUGAUGAUAUAAUUGUGAUUAUGUCGUUCUAUAAAAAGAAUUGACUAUUAUUAGAGAUAAAUUUCUCUGAUACUUAUCUUUUGUUUUUUCAUGAUUACUAUUAGAGAUAAAAAUUGCUCUAAAGUUCAUUACUUUUCUUUAUGCCAAUGAAGGGAAGAAAUGCCAUUCUUUGAGGUUUGCUUGACUUGAAUGUGAAUUGUGAGACAUGUUCCUUCUACUCCCAACCCUUUUUCUACUUGGGUCAAGUUAACCAAGCCAACUUAACAUAACUAUCUUGGACAUUAAAAUAUAUUUAUCUUUAUAUCUAAUUUGGAUAUUUUUAUUUGUAUGGGGAUGUAGUUUAUACGACAGUAGAUAGAUAUCAUGCGUUUAGAAUCACAGUAUCCUGAAUCGAUCGGAAGGUUAAUAAAUUCACUUUCAAUUGAUUAUAUUUAAAGUGUAUAAUUGUUUGCUUUAUAUAUUAACUGUAGUAUUUUAUGACAAGUAAGUAUAUUCAAUUCGAUUUUUGUAGGUGCAUAGAAAAUUAUAUUUAAAGUAUAUAAUUGUUUGCUUGAUCAAAUGUAUGUCGAUAGACGUUUUUUUUAAUUAUUUGGAACUACUUUAUAUAAAGACAACUACUUUAUGCAUGAUUUUUGUUUAACCAUUCAAUUUUCUCUAAAUAGGAGAUCGACGAUAAAAUCUUCAAAUGGAAUGGCGAAUUGGCGAAAGUGGAACAACAAUAUUCAUCUUAUAUUGUACAUUACUAGUACAUUUUUAGAAACAUACCGAUAUCAGUCAACAAUAUACCAAGACUUGACUGAAAGAUUGGAGAAUGGAUGUUACAAAGGUAGAAAUCUUAUCCUGAUGUCUGGUGAUAGGUAAUUUCGCAGCAAAUUGGAGCUUUUGUCAACUUCAUUAAAUCGGGAUACUGUGGUUUACUUAACAGCCACGCUGCAUCUGUCAACAUAACUACAGUUUUCCUGGGAGCUCCGAUAUGGCAUUGUGUCCUAAAAACGGCAUCACAAAAAAAAAAAGAGAGAAAAAUGCCAAGAAGGAUAAGAAGAAUAUCAUUUUGGAAACCAGCGACGACGAAAUGUGAAGACGACCUGAACUAUUAUUACUAAUUUUAUAUUAUGUAGCUGAGACUUGUUGAGCGAUGAGGUAGUCAUAGAAAAUUGAGUAAUGGUUUCUUUGUUCUUGCAAUUCUAAAAAUCGGUCUAGGCGGCGCCUAGGCCCCCGCAUAGGCGGCAACUUGGUCUUAUCCGAAAUGAUUUUCUUAAAAUCUAAUUUAUACCGAUUUAUAUGAUUCAAAUUGCUUUAAACUGUUCUAAAUCAGUUAAAAUUGGUUAAAAUCGAUCUAAAAUUGUCUAUAUAUGUUAAAUUAAGCAAUAAUAUUUUUACAAAUGUACAAAUUUGUCUACUUUCUUCUGUUUUGUAUAUCUAAUUUUGAUAAUUUCAUCACAAUAAUUUUAUAAUUAAACUUAAAAACUAAAAUAUGUCAUACAAAUGUAUAAAAUAUAUAAAAUAAAUCAAUAAUUUGAUAACGCCUAGGCCUCGUCUAGGCCCCGAAUAAUCCGCCUAGUCGCUAGUCUUCUAUAAAGCGCCUAGUUACCGCCUAGCGAUUUUAGAACAUUAUGCAAAACAAUUAUAUUAUGGGCUAUAUAAACUUAUGGACCAACCAAAGAUUUUUUAUAUUAUCAUAAUAUGAUUUAUAAGCAAUUAAUUAACAAAAAUUCUUAAUCUAUACUAUAUUAAAAUUGAAACUAUAAGCCAAAUCGCCAAUCAUAUUAUGACAAAUUAUCAUGUUAAUUUGUUAUUUCUAAAAAUGUUUAUAUUACCAAAAAUCAUUUAUUUCAAAAUAAAAUGUAAAUCAAUGUCAAAUAUAAAAAACUUACAAAAGUAAAAAUUAUUUAGAAUCUACUAGAACUUUUUGUAACUCUCAUAAUGACGAUGAUUCUUUGUUAGCAUAAAGAUCGACUUCAUCUUCUUGAGAGUCUUGAUGGAGUCAAAUUUGUUUAAGGUUUGUUAGAAUGAAUCUGAACCAUUAAUGGAACUCCAUGUGUCAGGAUCUAAUCAAGAAGUAUUUUCCAUCAGCUCUCGUUUGUAACAUCCUCGUAAAUCCGUUGUAAUCUUGUAAAUAUUCAAACGUUCAUCCUCUUUGCUUAAAAUGUUGGAACCAGUAGAAGGCAUUAGGACAUGACUCUUUAAUUGGGAGAGGCGUAGUAUACUGGGCCGGGGCCCAUUUUAAAAAACAGCGAUGAUGAUUAGUGGGCUCGCACACGUGAGAGGAGACUUGACACGUGUGGGCAUUUUCACUCUUUUUUUCCCUCAAGGAUUUGAUUUCCACCACAGGAAGAAGCACCCCACCCCACCCUCUCUUCCCAAAAGUCUUCGCAGUUUUCACCACUCUUUGUAGUUCCCGUUUUACCCCGGGCAUCGGAGGCGGGCGCGCUCGUAGCUAAUGGAGACGGCGGCGGCAUCGGAGCGAGUCGAAUUGGCGAAGCACUGCAGCUCGCGGAACUGGUCUAAAGCGAUUAGAGUUCUCGAUUCGCUCCUUGCUAAGCAGUGCUCGAUUCUCGAUAUAUGGUUGGUGUUCGCUGAUCUUCAAUUCAAUUCAAUUCAGAUCGGUAUCAAUUUUGAUUCUCUAUUUCAAUUUCAGCAAUCGAGCUUUUUGUUAUAAUCAAUUGGAGCUUCACAAGCAUGUGAUUAAGGACUGUGACAAGGCACUUCAGCUCGACUCUUGUGCCAUUCAAGCUUAUCUACUCAAAGGUUAGCUCAGCUUUUGAUUACUCUGGGAUUGAGUAAGCUUUGAGAAUCAUUGGUUCUUCAUGUAUGUAGGACGAGCUCUUUUGGCUUUGGGGAGAAAACAGGAAGCUCUUCUUGUUUUGGAGCAAGGUUACAAUAUUGCUUUGCAGCAGACUUCAGAUGUGAAGCAGCUACUUGAAUUAGAUGAGCUACUUAAUGCUGCAAGGCCAGAGAUUGAUGUCACUCUGAACCAUCUUGCAGCUGAGACCCCUGUCUCCUCGUGUGCUACUCAGAAAAUUGAUAACUGCCAAGUAUCCACUAGUAUGGCAGUUUCUGAAUCAGGAGCAUGCAGCAACGGAAACACCCAUGAGUUGGGUGAGAAAUCAAUGGAUGCAUCCAAGCUAUCUGGUGGUGCCUCCGAGUUACGUAAUGGAUUAGCGUAUAAGGAAAAAGAGAAUGUAAAUUCUGGUAGCCAAAUCAACGGUAAACCAUCUAGUAAUGGUUCUGAAACUUCUGAUCGAUUAGGGGAUCUCUCGGUUAUUGGAAAUAAGUUAAGUAGCAAGUCCGGAUCUGUUAGCAAACAGAGCCUUACAGCUGAGGCACGUUCUGGAGGUAGCAAUGAAACCAAGAUAAAUAAUAACAAGUGCACCAUUGCGAGAAUAUCUGAAACCCACUCUAUAAGUGUGGAUUUUCGACUUUCCAGAGGCAUUGCACAGGUAUAGAGAUAGCAUUACAGAAAAAAAAAAUAUCUAUAUAUAUAAGAAAGUGUAUUUUACGUUGUAUCUUACUGGUGUUGAGGUAUUUAGCUUACAAACUCUUAAUCACUGGGCUCUUAGGUGAACGAAGGAAACUACAUGAAAGCUAUAUCUAUUUUUGAUAAGGUGAUUUUUCAUGUACUCCUCUUUUGGUGAUUUUUAUCUCUGGCGAGUGUCUUUUGCUUUUCGUUUCACUAGUUUACCUUGUUCUUAGAGGUUGUUUGGUAGAAAAGAAUGUAUCAGUUUUUUUACCAUUUUAGUUUAUCUUUGUGCACUGCGUAGGUUCUGAAAGAAGAACCUACUUACCCUGAGGCACUUAUAGGAAGAGGGACAGCUUAUGCAUUCCAACGAGACCUUGAAAAUGCUAUUGAUGAUUUUACUAAGGUAUUAUUCGUUUAUUUGACAAGAGUUUUUACCACAGUGGGUUAAGUUCACAGAUUCUUCUCCUAUUGGUCAGGCUAUUCAAUCGAACCCGGCGGCAGGUGAGGCUUGGAAGCGGAGAGGACAGGCGCGUGCUGCUCUUGGGGAAUUUGCUGAGGUUAGUGGUUCCACGUUUUCUCUGUUUCUGUUUUUAUUCAGAGCUAAAAGCAUAGACAUUAAAUGUAUUUGAUGGGCCUAUAUUCGCGCCUUCACAUUCAUUGAUUGAUAAAAAAUAUUUUCUGAUUGAUAUUCAAUCAUUUGGAUUAUCUCUAACUGAUGUCUGUUUUAAAGCCUAUUUAGUGCUUGCAUUUUAUGGGUAAAAAAUCAGAUACGUUUCCUGUACACACUCUUAAGCUACUCUUUGGUGAUAGGCGGUUGAAGAUUUGACUCGAGCACUGGAAUUGGAGCCAAAGUCACCUGAUAUUUUGCAUGAAAGGGGUAAGUGUCUUUAUGAUGUAUUUACUUUUAAAUCUUGCUACCUAUUUCAGUUUUGACAUCUUAAUAACUGCAUUCAGGUUUUAUUACCACUGACUUUCUCAAUUAAUUCAGGUAUUAUUAAUUUUAGAUCUAAGGACUUUACUGCUGCUGUAAAGGACUUAUCUAUAUGUCUGAAGCAAGAGAAAGAUAACAAGUCCGCAUAUACUUAUUUGGUAAGGCUAUCGUCUGUUGUUAUUCUUGGUCUCCGAAGUGACCAUGACCAAGUCUACAAAUGUUUUCUUAACAAAACUUUGCUGAUCUUUCCAGGGACUAGCUUUUGCAUCUCUUGGUGAAUAUACAAAAGCUGAAGAGGCGCAUUUGAAGUCUAUCCAGCUAGAUAGUAAUUAUCUUGAAGCAUGGCUACAUCUCGCCCAGGUAACAUGCAUAACUAGUUUAUAAUUAUGCGUUUUCUGUAGAAUCUUUAACUAUUUAGCUUGACUGUCAUGAAAUAGUAUUUUGUUAAUUGCUUAUUCUUUCUUUCUUUUUUCAAUCUGGGUUUUCAUGCAUAUGAUGAUAAAUAAACGAAGUUAGAUUUCUGUAAAGCUAACGAGACUUCACUGUACUUGAUGUUGUUUCUUGGCUUUUCUUGGCAGUUCUAUCAAGAGUUGGCUGACCACAACAAGGCUUUGGAAUGCAUUGAUCAAGUUCUACAAGUCGACAACAGGUAGCUCUUAAUUGGGAUGAACUAUCACAUGUUGCACACUAUUUUGGGUUCGCCAUCGUAGUCAUGGAGAUUUUCCUGUCUUGACCAGGGUCUGGAAGGCUUAUCAUUUGCGUGGAUUAGUGUUCCAUGGAUUAGGUGAACACAGGUAUGUAUCGCUAUUCGCUAGUUAGACUAAGAUUACUGGAAAGUGAAAAUUUGGUUAAAGGGGAAAAUAUACCUUUGUUAAUGUGCAUGUUACCCAACUCUCCCUACUUCGAGAUAUGAUGUCUAAUAAGAUUUUCUUCCCCUUGCUCGUGGUGUUAAAAUAUCUGCGUUUGAGCAACAGGAUGUUCUAACGGAAACUGAUAAUUUGGUGGUCAUAAUCACAUUGGAUUUAUCGACAAGGAUAGUCUUUAAAGCAGUAAUAUUAUUAACAUGUAGUUGUUUGUGGUAAUUUUAUUUUUUCAGGAAGGCUAUCCAAGAAUUAUCUAUUGGUUUGACCAUUGAGAGUUCAAUAGAAUGCUUGUACCUACGAGGUUCCUGCCAUCAUGCUGUAGGGGAGUAUAGAGAAGCGGUAAAUGAUUAAAUAUUUAUAUGUCAACAUUAUUGCUGCAGUUUAUAAGGAGACUCUCUUAUUAUUACUCGCAUAUCCUCACAGGUGAAGGACUACGAUGCUACAGUGGAUGUGGAACUUGAUGCUGUGGAGAAAUUUGUUCUUCAAUGCUUGGCAUUUUAUCAGGUUCCAAAAUAUGUUUUUCUUUGUUAAUAAUCCAGAGGUUGCCUUGAUUGAAAGCUUAAAUUGAAAUGUUAUGUGCAAAAUUACUGUCUUGGUACAUUCUCUUUGUAGCAAACCUGUAAUGAUAGGAUAUUGCGUUGCUACUUUCUAAUAGCAUGGCCUUAUUUAUCUGAUAAUACUGCUUCGUUGUUUCUUUGUACGUUAAUAUUGGAUGCUUCAUAUGUUGCAACGCUAAACAUUUCCUUCACAAUUAAUAGAUAUGUUAUCCUUUUUUUAUCCCGCAGAAAGAGCUCGCCUUGUAUACGGCUUCCAAAGUUAGUAGUGAGUUUUUCUGCUUUGAUAUUGAUGGUGACAUAGAUCCAAUGUUCAAGGUGAUAUAUCUCUGUCGAUAUUUCUGAUAUCUCCGUUAUGAGAUGACUAUGAGUGCUCUCAAGUGAUGUAUGUGAUUUUCUUUUCCUGUGGGUUUACAGGAGUACUGGUGCAAAAGAUUACACCCAAAAGAUGUAUGUGAAAAGGUUUACAGACAACCUCCCCUACGAGAAUCCCUUAAGAAGGGUAAACUGAAAAAGCAAGAUCUUGCAAUAACCAAACCUAAGGCGAAUCUUCUUCGUUUUACUGAUAUGAUUGGAAAGAAAAUCCAAUACUUUUGUCCUGGAUUCUUACCGAACAGACGCCAGGUAACUUGGAGUAGCUACCUCAACAUUCUCUUUUUUCUUGUCCCAGAAGGUCCCUGCUGCAUCUAUCUAUCUAUAUAUAUAUCCCCUCUAUACUCUAUUAUGCAUAUAAUUGUACGCCUAGCCUCUCCUGGCUAAACUAUCAUGGUUACGUCCCAUUAAUCAUUUGUGUUUCCAUGAUUUUCCAGCACCGUAUGGCGGGAUUAGCUGUGUUAGAAAUUGCUCAAAAGGUUUCAAAAGCUUGGCGCAUAGAGUGGAGGAAUUCAAACAAAGGCACGGCAAAAAAUGGGAAGAAAAACCGUAGGAGAGAGAGAAUCAACAUGCUUAGCCAGAAUAGAGGUGGUGCCGGAUGUAGUACGAGCACUUCCAGUGAAACUUCAACUGGAUAUGCCUCACUAGAAGAUCGAUCAUCUGGCCGCUCUAUCUUGUCUUGGCAAGACGUUUAUUCGUCUGCUGUCAGAUGGAGACAAAUUUCAGAGCCUUGUGACCCAGUUGUGUGGGUUAACAAACUAAGGUACAUGUUCCAUUUCGAUUGCUAUAUAAGUAGGUGUAUCUAAUGAUUCUUAGAACAGAAGCCUCUUGCCAUCUUUAAGUCUCUGAGCUUCAGUUUCUGAACUUAACUUUCAUUUGAUUAUUUAUGCAAUUUGCAGCGAAGAGUUUAAUUCUGGUUUUGGUUCUCAUACGCCAAUGGUACUCGGACAAGCUAAAGUAAUACGCUAUUUUCCAAAUUAUGAAAGGUACAAUGUUUACAUAGAACGUGAGCAUUUUUUCAUGUAUUCAUUCGUGGAUUUUUCUCUCUCCCAUGGAAUGAUCAAUUUCCAUAAUAUACUAUUGUAGAACCCUGAAUCUUGCAAAGACCAUCAUCAAGGAGAAGCUCUGUGUACGCAGCAAGGCAGAUAAAGUGAUUGAUCUAUCUAAAGAUGAGAAGAUAGAAGAAGUCAGUCUUUCUAUUCUUCGUGCGUGAAUGUGAAUGAGUCUCGUUUAUCAUAUUGUUAUCUUACUGAAAUUGGCCAAUGGGAUGCAGAUAAUGCGUGCAGAAACGUGUGAAGAGCUACACAAAAUUGUUGGUGAGGAUUUCUGGGUGGCUACUUGGUGCCACAGUACCGCAUUCGAAGGGUAAAAUUUGUUUGUUUAUUACUAUAAAACCACAAGUCUUCUCUUCACCGUUGCAGUUUUUUUUAACCUUGACUAUGCUUCCUCUUUUGGUUACUAUCUUCAGGAAACGCCUUGAAGGAACUAGAAUCACCUGCAUUAAGAAACCGUAAUCUAUCCUUCUACGCCAAUCAUUUUCACAUAAACCCUGAUUACCACUUUCUUCAAUUAAUAUCUCUUUGUUCUCUUAAUCCAGGGGAAGUCUUGGGUAUGAUUUUGCAAUUAGAACUCCAUGCACACCUGCGAGGUGGAGUGAUUUUGAUGAAGAAAUGACCUCAGCUUGGGAGGUAUAACACACCUAAGCAUUAUAGUUUACUUUUAUUUUCUUCAUUCCGAGAAAACAAACUUCAAAAAUCUCCAUAUGAAUCCCACAGGCUUUAUGCAAUGCCUACUGUGGAGAGAAUUACGGUUCUACCAACCUCCAGGCUCUAGAAACCGUGAGAGACGCUAUCUUGCGCAUGACAUACUACUGGUAAACUAAUCAAACUUAAAACAUAUGGUUACUGAUUGAUUACUCAGAACGUGUUGGGUGUUUGUCUUUGGCAGGUACAAUUUUAUGCCGUUAGCUCGAGGGACAGCGGUAACGGGAUUCGUAGUGUUACUAGGACUUCUGCUAGCUGCUAAUAUGGAGUUCACUGAGAGUAUCCCUAAAGGGUUACAGAUCGAUUGGGAAGCUAUACUUAGUGUUGAACCUGGUUCCUUUGUUGGUUCGGUUAAGUCUUGGUUAUACCCGUCUUUGAAAAUCAACACCUCGUGGAAAGAUCACCAGGAAGUUUCCUCGGCUUUUUCAACAACCGGAUCGGUUGUCGCGGCGCUUAGCACUUACAAUGAUUGAGUUUCACAAUCUUGUCUCUUCAUGUCGUAAGAGGUGAAGAAAGCUAACCAACCAGAAUGAGCAGCGAGAAAACUUGUGUUUCAGUCAUAAAUCUUCGGGUUUAUGAUAUGUUUGUGUCGUAGAAAACAAACAAACAAAAUUGAUAGGUGUUUUUUCUUUAUUUUACAUAACUCAUAUAACUUUAUUUUACAGUUUGAAUAAUGUAUCUCUAUAUUAUAUGAACUCUCUUUGCAAAUCACAAGUCCACAUGAGUGUGUUGCUUAUGAUUAGCGAGGCCUUGUACUAUUACUAGUCUAAAAUAAUGGCAUUCACCAUUAAUACCGUGAUUAGUAUGAAGCUUGUUUAUUCUGAAAUUAUAUUCCUGAUUGUUUUUUUUUGUUUUUGUUUUUGAAAAAGGGCUUACAAAUUUUUAAUUGUUUUUCAUCCCAAAUACUAGUUUGUUUAAGAUUUGAGUCAAAACCUGUAAGAAAGUCAACGGACGAGCCAUUCGGUUUGGGUGUUCUCCACCACCGACAGGGCCGCUCUCGAAGUUUCGGCUUGGGUCCAUUGUCUUUACUCUGGAACACUUUUGUAAUAAAAUAAUAUCAAUCUUAAUGCUUCUGUUUCAUAAAAAUACAUGUUUUAGAAAAACAAAACUAUUCCAAAAAAAAAAUAUAUAUAUAUUUAGUGCAUAUUUUAUUAAUUAAUUAUGAUUAAUUCCAGAUUUCAGAUUUCACAAAAUUUAAUUACACUUAUUAAAUAUUUAUUGGUUUAAAAUAAUAAAAAACCAUAAUCAUAAAAAUUCAUAUAUAUAUAAAUAAGAUUUAAUAUAUUUUAUUAAUAUGUGUGAGAAAAUUAAAAAUAUGUAUUUUUUGAAAUAAAUAGAGUACUAAAUUAGUCAUUGGAAAAAUGGUAAGAAGCAAAAUCUUAAUUCCUAAGCAAUACAUGUCUUCGUAGACAGUUGAUUCGGUUUCCAUUGCUGUAUGCAUAUUUAUUUCCAAUCUAUCGAUUACUCAAUGCUCAUGGGAUGAGGAUUUAAGGAAAAUAAGUUUUUGAAAAAUAUAAUGAAUGAAAGUGUUAGUUGUUAUAGAAGUCAUAAUGAGCUGUAAUUUUUUAAAAUAAUGCAAAGAAAUAAAUUUAGGAAAAAAAUAUUUUCUACCAACACAAAAAGGAAAAGAAAAUUUGAGAAAGAUAGACAAUGCCAAAAAUAUUAUAUUAGUAAUUGAAAGAAAUCUUGAUAUUACUGCUAGAGGAGAUGUAUGUGUGGUAUCAAUCAAUGAUUUGUCUUUCCCUCUAUACAUUUCAACCAAAUACAUUGUUUGUUUAAACAUUUUUAUUUUUGCAUUUUUCGUUGUUUUACUAGAUUAAAUUAUUUUAUUUUGCAUAAGAAUUUACAUAAUUUUUAUCAUGGACAUUAUAAUAGUUUUAUCACUGAUAAUAUUUCCACACUUGUCAUGAAAAUUAGACACUUAAUUUUUUUUUUUGAUAAAAAAAUAUCAGACAAUUAUAAUAGAAUAAAAUAACUGUAAAAAUAAAGCUAGUGAACCCUACAUAAAUAAAAUACAAAAAAGAUAAAGCUAUCGAACGGCAUUUACAGGAUAUAGGUCUACACUCAACGGCUACAUCUGUCGGUGAUAUUUUUCUGAUCAACGGUCCGAAUCUCUUUUCAUCGACUAUAUAUUAAACACAAACCAUUCUCUUUCACCAACACACAACACUAUUGAUCAAAAUCAUUUACUUUUACAUCCUUCACUCAUUUAUUUUUUAAGUUCUUUUCUUCUUUUUUUUAUUGAAAUACUAAAAGAAACAUGGAACGUAAUGUCCUCCUAACGGUUACAUUGAUCUGCAUUGUCGUCGCCGGUGUCGGUGGCCAAUCUCCGGCUUCCUCUCCGACUAAAUCUCCCGACGCUCCUUCUACUCCAACUACUUCUCCCUCCUCCCCACCCGUGGAAGCACCGAAAUCUCCAUCUCCUGUUACCUCGUCUCCGCCGCCAGCUUCUGUUCCCGAGAGCGCUCCUCCGUCACCUCCACCAAAGGCUUCAGCUCCGGUGAGAUCUCCACCGGCUUCAGUACCCGAAGCUGCUACACCUCCAGCUCCGGUAGCCGAUGCACCGGCUCCAAGCAAGGGUAAGAAGCAUCAAAACGCGACGGCUCCGGCUCCCGAACUUGACAGCCCACCUUCACCACCGAUGGAAGCUCCUGGUCCUAGCUCCGACGCCGUGUCUCCUGGUCCGGCCACAUCCGCCAACGAAA
This 30228-nucleotide long non-coding RNA is filed under the name Brassica napus (rape). Its description in RNAcentral is "long non-coding RNA (BNAP_LNC000019)". Lineage: Eukaryota; Viridiplantae; Streptophyta; Magnoliopsida; Brassicales; Brassicaceae. The record is from RNAcentral.